AUUUAAAUAGUUUAGUUAAAAUGUUGAUUUGUGGUGUCAGAGAUGUAGAAUUCUACUUUAAAUU
Molecule: transfer RNA, 64 nt
Filed under: Cyphonistes vallatus
Lineage: Eukaryota; Metazoa; Arthropoda; Insecta; Coleoptera; Scarabaeidae
Description: tRNA-His
Source: RNAcentral